RNAcentral lists this ribosomal RNA (115 nucleotides) under Corynebacterium diphtheriae. RNAcentral describes it as "partial 16S ribosomal RNA". It matches the Rfam family "Bacterial small subunit ribosomal RNA", at positions 1 to 114 of the family's 1533-position model. The record is from RNAcentral. Lineage: Bacteria; Bacillati; Actinomycetota; Actinomycetes; Mycobacteriales; Corynebacteriaceae. RNAcentral also lists the same sequence under 2 other names.
UUUAUGGAGAGUUUGAUCCUGGCUCAGGACGAACGCUGGCGGCGUGCUUAACACAUGCAAGUCGAACGGAAAGGCCUAGCUUGCUAGGUACUCGAGUGGCGAACGGGUGAGUAAC